This 421-nucleotide ribosomal RNA is filed under the name uncultured cyanobacterium. Its description in RNAcentral is "bacterial SSU rRNA". It matches the Rfam family "Bacterial small subunit ribosomal RNA", at positions 359 to 795 of the family's 1533-position model. The record is from RNAcentral. Lineage: Bacteria; Bacillati; Cyanobacteriota.
GAAUUUUCCGCAAUGGGCGAAAGCCUGACGGAGCAACGCCGCGUGAGGGAUGAAGGCCUCUGGGCUGUAAACCUCUUUUCUCAAGGAAGAAGACCUGACGGUACUUGAGGAAUAAGCCACGGCUAAUUCCGUGCCAGCAGCCGCGGUAAUACGGGAGUGGCAAGCGUUAUCCGGAAUUAUUGGGCGUAAAGCGUCCGCAGGCGGCCUUGUAAGUCUGUUGUUAAAGCGUGGAGCUUAACUCCAUUUCAGCAAUGGAAACUUCAAGACUAGAGUGUGGUAGGGGCAGAGGGAAUUCCCGGUGUAGCGGUGAAAUGCGUAGAUAUCGGGAAGAACACCAGUGGCGAAGGCGCUCUGCUGGGCCAUAACUGACGCUCAUGGACGAAAGCCAGGGGAGCGAAAGGGAUUANAUACCCCUGUAGUC